Transfer RNA from Fusarium graminearum, 104 nucleotides. It matches the Rfam family "tRNA". From Rfam's summary of the family: Transfer RNA (tRNA) molecules are approximately 80 nucleotides in length. Their secondary structure includes four short double-helical elements and three loops (D, anti-codon, and T loops). NCBI's taxonomy places the organism in Eukaryota, Fungi, Ascomycota, Sordariomycetes, Hypocreales, Nectriaceae. The record is from Rfam.
GCCAAGAUGGCCGAGUGGUUUAAGGCGCUGCAUUUAAGUAUUUCCUGUUUCUAGGUUAUCCUGCAGUAUCGAGAGAUGCCUGGGUUCGAACCCCAGUCUUGGCA